Molecule: long non-coding RNA, 623 nt
Filed under: Coffea arabica (coffee)
Lineage: Eukaryota; Viridiplantae; Streptophyta; Magnoliopsida; Gentianales; Rubiaceae
Description: long non-coding RNA (CARA_LNC001216)
Source: RNAcentral
GACAAAAUAUAUACACGAAAUUGGCUUCUUUAAUUCGGUUCCUUAUUGAGAUAUUUUAUCAAACACAUAGAAUGCAUACAAAAGAACCACUUUUCUUUUCCCCAAUCUUGUUUGUGACCUAUCCCAAUAUCUCAAACAACAAAAGAAACCAGCAAAAAUAAGAAAAAAUUAAACAACAAAAACAUGGAUUUAAUACGAUUAAAAGCUGAAAAAAAUACCUCAAUGAAAGUGGUAGUUCCUUGGUUAACAUUUUUUAUGAAAUUCCUAGGCCUCAACCGUCCCUUUGUUUUCUUUGUUUGCUUCCUUUCCUCCACUUUUCCUAUCCUAUCUUCUUAUUGGCUUGUGUGUGUGGUUGUUUGUAGUGUGUGUGAGUGUAAAAGGAGAGAGGGAGCCAAGAGGAUUUGGGAGAUUGAAGGAAAAAAAUGUCCUAGUUGUGUUAGUGCAAGUGGGUGUUGUGCUAGUGUGUGUGCAUUUUUGUGUGAGAAUCCGAGAGGAAGAAAGAGAAGGAGGUGUGUUGUGUGUAAUUUUGGGAGAGAGGAGGGCCGAGAGAGGGAGUUGAAGUUGGUGAGUUUUGUUGUGAGAAAAUUUUUGAGAAAGCGGGAAAGAGAUGGCUGAGAGAGAGA